Paramacrobiotus metropolitanus is the source of this 2996-nucleotide RNA transcript. RefSeq lists it as uncharacterized. The transcript has 6 exons. Lineage: Eukaryota; Metazoa; Tardigrada; Eutardigrada; Parachela; Macrobiotidae. The record is from RefSeq and is a predicted model, not a curated record.
CCAUAAAACAGAACGGUGCACGGCGCAUGCCAUAACUUUAGCAGACUUGUCGGUCGCGCAUAGGUUCUUCUCGAAAGCAAUUCGGUGCCGAGGUACUAUCUGCCUGUCAAAACUAAGUCCCUGACUUUGAGUGUAGUGGACAACGUCUAAAAAACAUCUAAAAUACUAAGUUAACUAACCAACUACGUGCUGUCAUUAAACUGAUGGGUUUUCCCAUCAUCGACCCAAUCGAACGCAAUGUCCCUCUGGCUGAUACUCGGGACCAUGAUUGGAUGCAUUGUGGCUGCCGUGCAUUGUCAUCGGUUCUGCAGAACGAAAAGCGGAAUGUUUCGCUGCGAACCAUACAUCGAUGAUAAUCUGGACAUUCCCCUGACGUUUGACGUGGACACCAUUCCUGACACGGACAACGUGACGAAACUGGUAUUUUACUGCGACAAAGCUUUCGAGCGGGAACCCCGUCAGCACUACUGCACGCUGCUGCGGAACGAGCACCGCAGUCUUCCAGCCAGGAGACACAUAACCCGAAUAUCUCUGCACGGGUUUUUCGGAGAGAACGACCAACGACCUCCGUUUAAACAUUUCUUACAGCACAUGCAAAAUACCACUGAGGAGGUGACCAUCCAGGGCAGCAAGAUCGGCUAUCUGGAUGCGGAUUUCUUCCAUCCUUUCCAGAAAUUGCGCAGUCUCGAUUUAUUCAUGAACGAUAUCUACGAUAUCGCGAUUGACUCGUUCCAGCCGCUGCAACCGGCAGCUGCCGACGGGACUUUGGACCUGCAAGGAAAUGCUUUACAAGAGCUGGAUUUGGCUGUGUUCAGACCGCUGGCGUCCUGGCUGAGCGUCUUGCAGCUGAACAAACAACGUCCGCAAAUGCGGAAGCUCCAUAUAAGCGGGCCGCGCUUCGAGUUUCCCGUUUUAUCAGCCUUUUCGCUUACAGCUAACGCCGUUACAUUGUCUCCUGAAACAUUUAACUCCAUGCCACAAAUCCACAACCUGGAGCUGUAUGGCAACGACAUUUGCGACGUUUGUGACUGUUCAUGCUGCGAAGCGCAGCCGUUCCUUCAGCGUCUGUCCAAUUUAACCGGCUCCGGCCUCCGCUCUGAACUGCAGUGUGGUGGGAUGCAGCAUUACGAUCCCGGAACCUAUCGCGCCGAUUAUUCGCCCCUCCUCAAAUCCUCUCCUUGUCCCCGGUGUGUGCAGCCGGAUCCGGUCGAUAUCCUGUGCCGAAACGGCUCCUUCUCGUCAUCAGACCCAAAUCUGGAAGACACCGAUGCUCUCCUGAUCCGCUUCACAGGGGACGGCGCACCGCAGUGCACCAGCACCUUCCAUGACCUUUAUCAAACCAUCCUGGAUCUGGGCAACGCGACACACCCCGAACCCGGAUCUUCAGCCGCCGUAACCCUCUUCUGUCGCGCUAAUCGGACUUCUGUCUGGGGUGCGGACAUAAGCAUUAAGAACCCGUUAAAGGUCAUCGUUGACACGGAUCUCAGUCCGCACUGCCAUGAUGUUCGUGUGCGAUUUUUGAACGCGACCCGGCUUCACAUUUCGAAGGAGGCCAUCGACCGUAUCGCACCGUCUAUCAUCUCAAUUCAAACCUGGAUCAAGGACCAUUUGGUGUGUCCGCUCGGUGCCCCGCUAUUUGUCAACUGCACCAACGGAACAGUUGUUUCCUACCCGGCUCCGUUAAACCUGACAAAGUCCACUAUCCUCCAUAUUCGUAGCGACCUGUCGCUUGUGUGCCAGGAUUUUGUUAAAGGUUGUCAUAAAUAUUUGCUGGAAGCAGAAGGAGUCACGGUGCAGGAUUACGCUGCGGACAGCGCUUCACAAGACGCGGUUGUGGCUGUUUGCCAGCGUGGUCGUAUUAUCCUGUCGGGAGCCAGUCCGAAGCGGCAUUUGACGUACUACGCAGCGCCGAACGAUCCCUGCCAACGACACUACCGGGCGUUUCUCAACCACAUUCAACCGAACACCACCUACCUCACUUGAAAUGACAGGAAAAUAAAAUAAAAGAAAUCGUUCAAGCCAAUCCACUGCGGCGAAUCCAUGCACAAAAUGUGGAAAUCGGUGCUAUUUGUUACUCUGCUACUGGCGAGCGCCGUCCAUGCCGGGCUUCUGGAGCGACUGCGGCGUCGGGAUGUCGGCACGGCGCAGGGAGGGGCAGUUGUUAGUCCCGGGGUACUUUCCGGAAAUUUGAUGCAAGUCCCGGUGCAUGUUCCCGUCAAUAUCUGUGGGAAUACCGUGGAUGCUGCGAUCGCGCUAAAUCCGGUGUUCGACUGCGCUAAUAAAGUCCAGGGUUCCCUGCAUGUUCCCUCGCCGGCUGAUGGAUAGGCAGUACGAACUGAUGACGAACUGUACUGUCGAAGUUUGGAUCCCCCGCACAUGUGUUACGACAUCAUGGGAAUGCUGUCAGAAAUACCUAUGUACGCUCCCCUAUCAGGAUAGCAUAGAGGAAGUUUUUCUGUUAGUAAGUUUGUACUUAUUCUACGAUACUUAUUAAAGGUUGUGCUUCCUAUGUGAUACUUUCUGUGCUUAUGUAACAUUGCUUUGAUAGCUGCUCUCCUACGUUAUAAUCUUAAGAGGCAAAACUCUUACUAAGACGUUGCCAUAAUAUAUAUUAUGUCUUAGCCGUACGACCUGGGAAUGCGAUUAAUGCGUUCUCUAAUAAUUACAAUUUUUAUUCGACACCAGUCAGCUUACAGAUCAGAUGGGCUAGCACAGGUUUACACUACUUAAAAUGAUCAGAAUUUAAACAUUGAAAAAACAUCCAAAAUCGUUAGUCCCAUUAGUGAUCUUGGGGCGUGCAGUCAAAAUGCGUUCUCUUGAUAAAAUCCGCCAACUCCGCAUGCCGGUCCUGUACCUGCUUUUGAGUUUCUACUCAAAUCUGUUGAUCCGUCUUAAGUGCUAUAAUAGCGUAAGACUGUUUUCUUUUUCGACCAGUCCUUCGGGGUUGUCUGCUCUCGUGCCGUAAUAAUAAUAACAAUAAAAAAUGAAACAUAAAA